CCUUUGGUCAUUUAUUUUUGUUGCUCAGUUUUAAGCUAUCUUGUUUCAUUUUACAAACUUGAUUCAAUGUCAGACGAAAAAGAGGCAGUCCUAUGUCUUUCGACAGCUUCAUACAUAUAAAAAAAACUCUUACUUUCAUUUUGAUGAACACUGUAUAGGAGAAGGUGAAGAAAGAAGAGUUCAGCUGAACAAUGAGAGGAAGAUGAAGAGAAAAUCAAGUUCCAAGAACACUUCUGAAGCAGGUCCCUCGGUGGCAUUCUGUUCACCCCGAGCUCAGUAUCCAGAUAAAUACCAAAACAGAGUGGCAGUAAUUCAACUCUUACAGGAGGAAGGAACUACGGAAGAGUCUACUUUAUCCAAGAGGACGUCUGCUUCCCAAUCCUCAUCAAUUUCAUGAGGAAUCUCACUGAUAGGCAGUGGAAGGUGAUUCAGGAGGGCAUGAGAAAUCCUGUAAGUUUAUCUGUCAACAUUUGAUGUGUGAUUAUUUGAUAGAAAGUUGGACAUGAAGUUUAUCAUAUUGACUAACUAAGCACUUGACACCACAGCCCCUCAAGAAUAAAUAUCAUGCUCUUUUUUUGUAUUGAAACCAAAAUAUUGAGGGAAUAGAGCGAAAACAGUUUUCCAUAUAGCGGAAGAAAUCCUCACCCUGACCCUUGCACAUAUAUUAGAGCUAGAUGCCGUUAAAGAAGCUAGCGCCUCUCCCUCGCUGACUGGAUCAGAGUGCGUGCAUCCAGGAACAUGUGGUGAAAUUUAAUGAUGGUCUACCUAAGAGGCCUGGCAGUGGAAAGGCCAUGUGUAGUCAACGGGUCAAGAAAUGAUCCCCGAACACAGUUACCACAACAGAGAAUUGAGGACGAGUGGCAGUGGCAGAUAAUUUUACAGCUCCCACACACCCACUCCACGUUCUUCCACAAGGUAUGUUCACCAACCACACUUCAACUGUGUGCCUGACCUGACUGAUCUUAGCACCGUAUACAUACUGAACUCAGGCUAACUUUUUCACACAUUACACAGCAUAUGACAGUUCUAAGAAUGAAAAGCUAAAGAACGACUGUUUUUAUGGUAGUAAGAAGGCAGACACCACAUCUUUAGAGAACUAAAUAUUACAAUUAUUGUGAUUUAGGUGAAUUUAAAGUAUUUAUUUGUAGAGAUCAAUAUGUAAAAUUAUUCAAGAUUGAUCGAUUCUUGUGUUUGUUUUGAAGUUCCCAGACAUCGUUGCAGAGGGCACAUAGAGGAGACGCUCGACUGACAGAUCCUCUUAAUGCCCUCUUUGGGAUCAAAGAUCUGUGGCCAGAGAUGUCGUGAGUCAGGUGAACUCUGACAUCUCACUGAUCAUCUCCUGUUCCAGCUCAGGUAAAACAAGACCGGUGUUGUGUGACACUGGCAGGCGAUAUACCAUGCAGGCCGCCCAGAAGCUGGUGUCUGCUAUCUGUGCCAAGCUGUGGAGGUUUGGAGUCACUGGACAGGCUGCGCCUCAAGCCAAAACCGAUCCAUCUAAGGAGAAUGUGGACAUUGAGGCUUCCUUUGCACUGUCGACAGGAGAGGUCAUGGCUGUUAUGGUCAACUCCAGAGAAUGCCAGGAAGGAGAGUAAGGAACAAUGGAUGCGCUUUGAGAAAUCGCACAAAGUCCAUAUUUUUUUCCCGCUUCAAGGGAUAUUGUUGGUGGUCUUCUGUAAGACUCCCUAGCAGAGAAAAAAUAUCUGAAAGAGACUGUAUCCCCUGGCAGCUUGGUGAGUCAAAACAUCCUCGUACUUUCACCUUCUGAGAAAAUGUUUGGAUCUCCUGUAAUGACAACCAUUGAUAAUUUAUCCAGUGAUGAAUUGAAGUCAGAAGCUACUAAAGUUUAGUGAAGUCUAUCUGCACAAACGCACAAAUUAAUGUAGGUUCUGAAGCCUCUGAAAUUAUGGAUUCCUUUCUGAGGAGCAGGCCCAGAGUGGUUCCAGUUCUCCUCAGGCUGUGAAACAAGGCAAACUACUGUAAAUCGCUCUGGAUAAUUGAUAAAAUAUUUUAUAUGUUGAAAGAUAAUGAUGAAAUAAUUCCACUCUGAAACCAUAUAAUUGUAUGAAAUUGAUUAGAAUCAUAAAACUAUAAUCUGAUGAUGUGUGUCGUUUUAGUCAGAAUUAGAACAAGGACCUUUUGUUCCUUUUUAGUAUGUAAGCAGGGUGCAAGUAGGAAACAAAUGAUAAGAGGAGCUAUCGACAGACAAGCUGGACUACUGUGUUCCUUACAGGACAUUCUGUCUCCACCCGUGGAGGGGAGAAACUGUUAGGCUUGCAUAAAAUGAUGAAACAUUGUUUCAGAUUAAACAAUGUAUCUAUGUAGUGGAAAAACAGACUGUCUAAGCAAGGCGUAGCUUAAGAUUUGAACUUGUUUGUGUGUGUUAUAAAGACUGGGUUUGCAUUUUUGAUGUUAGAACGUUCU
Molecule: long non-coding RNA, 2421 nt
Organism: Salvelinus fontinalis (brook trout)
Lineage: Eukaryota; Metazoa; Chordata; Actinopteri; Salmoniformes; Salmonidae
Exons: 4
Source: RefSeq, a predicted model, not a curated record